UACGGGAGGCAGCAGUGGGGAAUCUUGCGCAAUGGGCGAAAGCCUGACGCAGCGACGCCGCGUGAGGGAAGAAGGCCUUCGGGUUGUAAACCUCUUUCAGGAGGGACGAAGCCACUCGGGUUAAUAGCCCAGAGGGUGACGGUACCUCCAGAAGAAGCCCCGGCUAACUACGUGCCAGCAGCCGCGGUAAUACGUAGGGGGCUAGCGUUGUCCGGAUUUAUUGGGCGUAAAGAGCGUGUAGGCGGCCAGGUAGGUCUGCUGUGAAAACUCGAGGCUCAACCUCGAGACGUCGGCGGAAACCAUCUGGCUAGAGUCCGGAAGAGGAGAGUGGAAUUCCUGGUGUAGCGGUGAAAUGCGCAGAUAUCAGGAAGAACACCCGUGGCGAAGGCGGCUCUCUGGGACGGUACUGACGCUGAGACGCGAAAGCGUGGGGAGCGAACAGGAUUAGAUACCCUGGUAGUCCACGCCGUAAACGAUGGGUGCUAGGUGUGGGCGGUGUCGACUCCGUCCGUGCCGAAGCUAACGCAUUAAGCACCCCGCCUGGGGAGUACGGCCGCAAGGCUAAAACUCAAAGGAAUUGACGGGGGCCCGCACAAGCAGCGGAGCAUGUGGUUCAAUUCGACGCGACGCGAAGAACCUUACCGAGACUUGACAUGCACUGGAAUGUCGUAGAAAUACGGCAGCCCUUCGGGGCC
RNAcentral lists this ribosomal RNA (695 nucleotides) under uncultured Rubrobacteria bacterium. RNAcentral describes it as "bacterial SSU rRNA". It matches the Rfam family "Bacterial small subunit ribosomal RNA", at positions 340 to 1028 of the family's 1533-position model. The record is from RNAcentral. Lineage: Bacteria; Bacillati; Actinomycetota; Rubrobacteria.